AUUUGAGUUAAAUUUAAAUUUUGAAAAAUCUAAUAGGUUAGGAUUUGAUGGGUAGUUCUUUUUUUAAAUAAACUCGAGAAGUGUGCUCUUAAAUUUUCUCUCACUCCUACCGUCCCUUUCCUCUUCUUGCUCACGUCAAUUUUUCUUUUCUUUUUCUUCCUUUCCCUUUUUGAUAUGGUAAAUUGUUGCACGUUAUCAUUCGUCGCCUUGUGCUUUUUGUUCGUUUUAGUCGAGCAAAUUUGGGUGUUUUAGCAUUGUGUUUACAUAAACUUGCGGAGAUCGGGAGGCGAUUAACCCUCCAACGAGCUAAGGGUUUGUAAGGCUGUUGUUUCUUUCAAGGGUAAGUGAUUAAUGCCCUAUUUAAGGUCGAAUCUCGGUGUUAAGGUCAAAUAGUUAGUGUUUGCGAUCGAAAAAUGUUUGGAUUUUUAGUAUGUCGCUAUUAAUUCAGUUGCUUUAAAUAUUAUUUUAGGGUUCGAAAUUUUGUCGUUGUGUUGCUAUUUAGAAAUGAUCAGGUGUGUAUCUUCUGUCCUGAAAAACAACGAAUGGUGCGAAGCUGAAAAUUAUUUUGUUGACACCACAUGAUCGUGUGCCAGACAGUGUGAGCCACACAGCCAAUAUAAUUAAUCUGCCUUAUUUGGUGGCUCAGCCACGUAUAUUUGUUUCUGGCGGGUUAUUGCAUUUUGAUCUGGCAGCUAGUUUGCAUAUAUUCUGUAAAGUGACAUAUGAUCACUUAACGGUGUGUGGGGCUGGAUUAGUAUUUAAUACCCUGUGAUGGUCGGAGAUGGUAUGUAGCGGAUGGGGGUAGGAUCUAAAUCUGUAUCUGUUAUGCAUCUGAAUCUAUAUUUGUUAUGCAUUUGUGUCUGUAUUUGCUUCCUAAUCUAUUAAAACAUGUGUAUCUGAUUUAUUGUUUGAACUAAGUUACACACUGAGCUCGUAAGCUCACUUUCUGUUUAUUUGUUUUCAUGUAAUCCUCAAACAUAAGACGGAUUGGUGUGACAGGAGCUCGAUUAUUUAUAUUUGCUUUGGAUUUUCCUUAA
Long non-coding RNA from Gossypium raimondii (Peruvian cotton), 1037 nucleotides. RefSeq lists it as uncharacterized. The transcript is spliced from 2 exons. The record is from RefSeq and is a predicted model, not a curated record. Lineage: Eukaryota; Viridiplantae; Streptophyta; Magnoliopsida; Malvales; Malvaceae.